UGUGAAACCAUUAAGGGAAUUUUAGGCUAAAAUGAAUAUUUGGCAAGACAUAUCAAAACCUCAUAUCUUUGUUCACUUUAUGUCCCUGAAAAAGUGCUAAAAUGAUUUACUUUACAAAGUGAAAUGUUAUUUAAUGGAAAUAAAUAUGUGGUGAAUAAGUAAGUUGGGGGAAUUAUUGUGCAGAAUGGAAAAGUGGUUUCUGUAAGAUCUGAAGGAAAGCCUGCUUCUUGUUAGUAGCUUAUCUGUGUCCCCAGAUACAUAAAAAAAUAGGAAGAAAAAAGUGGGCCAAGUGAUCAGUUAUUGGCAGCCUCAGCCAUGCUAACAAGGCCACCAAUGGUACCAACUCCUGCUAGAUCAUUAUUCUACAAAACCAGUUCAAUCAAAAGCCUCACACUGUUGUUUGCAUGCAGGCCAGAGCUGGUACAAUGCUCUUGUUAGUACAACUGUGGAAACUAAGGAAGCUAAAAAAGCUAUCAGUUCAGUUUUAUAGAUCUUGAAACCAGUUGAUUAGAAAUUUGUUAGCAGCGAUGAUCUGCUUGUAGCCAAAUACUUAAAAACAGAGAGCCAGAUCUAAAAUUUUCAUUCUUAUAAUGCAAUAAUUUUAUAAUGUUACAAUUUACAACCUGUGAUGAUGUUGAAGAUAUC
Molecule: long non-coding RNA, 645 nt
Filed under: Mus musculus (house mouse)
Lineage: Eukaryota; Metazoa; Chordata; Mammalia; Rodentia; Muridae
Description: long non-coding RNA chrX:111830620-111831265
Source: RNAcentral